RNAcentral lists this long non-coding RNA (254 nucleotides) under Mytilus galloprovincialis (Mediterranean mussel). The record is from RNAcentral. Lineage: Eukaryota; Metazoa; Mollusca; Bivalvia; Mytilida; Mytilidae.
CAUGGUUUUCUCAGAAAGUUUUUUCUUCUUCUGAAGUUCAUCACUAAAUAACUUAAAGAGGGGCGAAAGAUACCAGAGGGACAGUCAAACUCAUAGAUCGAAAAUAAACUGACAACGCCAUGGCUAAAAAUGAAAAAGACAAACAGACAAAUAAUAGUACACAUGACAACAUAGAACACUAAAGACUAAGCAACACGAACCCCACCAAAAGCUGGGGUGAUUUCAGGUGUUCUGGAAGGGUAAACAGAUCCUGC